Molecule: transfer RNA, 72 nt
Organism: Puccinia sorghi
Lineage: Eukaryota; Fungi; Basidiomycota; Pucciniomycetes; Pucciniales; Pucciniaceae
Rfam family: tRNA
About the family: Transfer RNA (tRNA) molecules are approximately 80 nucleotides in length. Their secondary structure includes four short double-helical elements and three loops (D, anti-codon, and T loops).
Source: Rfam
GUGUACUUAGCUCAAUGACUAGAGCAUCACCCAUGAAUGCUGAGGUUGUGGGUUCGCAUCCCACAGUACACA